RNAcentral lists this long non-coding RNA (2048 nucleotides) under Malus domestica (apple). Its description in RNAcentral is "long non-coding RNA (MDOM_LNC010479)". The record is from RNAcentral. Lineage: Eukaryota; Viridiplantae; Streptophyta; Magnoliopsida; Rosales; Rosaceae.
CUUCUGAACCAUGAUAGGAGCAUAUUUAUGCGACUUAGUUAGCUUGUUUUCUUGCACUUUUAUAGUUAGUUUGUGGUUAUUAUAGUGUUUUAAGCAAUGUUCGUGUGUUUGUAGGUCCAAAUGACAAAGUAUGCAAAAAGGUGCAAUUUGGAGCCUUUUGGAGCAGUUUUGAGCAUAAAAUGGAUAUCACAUGGUUGGAGUCAAAUGGAUGGACGAAAUUGAAGAUCAAAGGAGGCAAGAAAUGAAGAAAUGAACAUGAAGAACAAAGAGUUCAGAAUUGGAAACCAAAGUUUCUAAAGUUGGAAGUUGCUAUUCUUGGAGGUUUCCAUUCUUGAAAAUUUCUAUUCUUGAAUUGGAAGUUUCCUAAUCCUUUUUCAGCUUUGUUUUAAGCCCUUGCCGCACCUCUCAAGCCUCUUCUCUCUUGGAUUCUGAUUUGUUAGGCCCUUUUCCUUGUGGAUUUGGGUUCUACAAAUCCUUUUUAGAAACUAAGUGGGCCAAAACCCUUUUCUUUGUUGAUUUAAACCCUAAACCGAAUUUGUAAACCCUAAGCCUUAAAAUCUGCUAAGUUUAAACCCUAAUCUAUCUCCCCUAGGGUUUGUGCCGCACCUAAUGUUCUAGAAGCCUAAAAAUCUGCAUAAAACCCUAGUUAUUUUCUCCUUUGGAUGGGCCAAGCCUUUUAUCUCCAAAACCCUAACCCUUUCCCAUCAGAUUUUGUGAAAACCCUAGCCUAUAAAUACAAGUUUUCAGCCAUAAAUUCGUGACCACCCUUCACACCAUUCAAAAACACCUUGCCGCAACCCUAAUCACCGUUCUACAUCACAAAACACCAUCCUACAUCCAUAUACAUCUCUGCCGCACCUUUUGGAGAAGAAAGAGAGCCUUGUCGUGCAUUCCAUUGAUGAAGGAGGGCCUUGUGCGCAUGUCAUCUGCAUCCUUGGGAGUUUUAAGAGUUCUUUCUUCCCUCGUUUCAGUUUCGAUGUUUAUUUUAAUUUGCUUUUCAAUUGCUAUGAACAUGUGGAACUAAACUCUUAUUAGUUAGUGGUGAAUUUGAAGCCAUGGACAUAUGUUAAUGUGAAUUGAUUCCUUUCAGUUAUUGUUUCGUAAAACAUGAAUGCGAUUUACUUAUCUAUUUGAUUGAUAGCUUAUUCUUGUGUGUUGAUUAAGGAGGCCUACUUAGUUUGCAUGCUUGAAUCUGAUGCUAAAUUAUAAGGGACUUUCACCUAAUCGUUAGAAACUUAUAAUUAUAAGUAGUGGAGAUUGUUAGUCACAAUCGUGUUAAGUAGAUUCUUGGCAAAAGUAUCAUGCAGUUCAUAGGUAUAAUUGCCUUGUCAAUGCUUAUGAUUUCCAUGGAAUUUAAUGAUCUUUGAAUGUAUCUCUAUCAUGCUGUUCAUAUAGGGAACUUGAGAAGAAUAAUUUGGGUUGUUGCAUGCAUUCAUCCAAUUCAAUGAAUUUAGGGAAAUCUGAGAGUUAAUUUGUGCAUUCACGAUUAAUUUGGGGCAUUGUCGUUCAUGGUUUAAAGAAACAAUACUGGAAAUCGGUUUAUGUUGCAUAUGUUCAUGUGUGGAGAAGGAUCCUCUAACUAGCUUUUCACCCUUGAAUUCAUCUUAAUUUCGUUUUAGUUUACUUUGACCUGCAAUUUGUUUAGUUUUAAUUCAAUUUCGUCAUAAAUCAAACCCCCUUUUCUGUUUUAUGUUAUUAGGUCAGAAUCUGUCCUAAUUAGGUUCUUUAGAGUGUUUUGAGUCAAUAUAGGUUAGGAUUAGUCCAUAAACAUUGUUUGGGUCUUAGUUUAGUCUUAAAUUCAUCCAAUUUCAUCUCUAGAAUCUGUUUUGAGUAUAAUUGUUAGUAUUGUGCUGUUUUGAGUCUUUUAAGUGUUUUCUGAGUUAGUUAAGUUACAAUCUGUUUUCUUUUAAUCUUUUGAGUCAAAGUAAGUUUUCAUUUCGUCCAACUUACUUGUUAGGUUUAGAAUUGAGUCAAUUUCACUUAGUUUUGCAUAUUUGAGUGUCUUAGGUGAGUUUAGAGUCUAUUCUUGUGUUUUUAAGUCUAGUUUA